RNAcentral lists this ribosomal RNA (1379 nucleotides) under uncultured bacterium. RNAcentral's name for it is "bacterial SSU rRNA". It matches the Rfam family "Bacterial small subunit ribosomal RNA", at positions 27 to 1393 of the family's 1533-position model. The record is from RNAcentral.
GAUUGAACGCUGGCGGCAGGCCUAACACAUGCAAGUCGGACGGUAGCACAGAGGAGCUUGCUCCUCGGGUGACGAGUGGCGGACGGGUGAGUAAUGUCUGGGGAUCUGCCCGAUAGAGGGGGAUAACCACUGGAAACGGUGGCUAAUACCGCAUAACGUCGCAAGACCAAAGAGGGGGACCUUCGGGCCUCUCACUAUCGGAUGAACCCAGAUGGGAUUAGCUAGUAGGCGGGGUAACGGCCCACCUAGGCGACGAUCCCUAGCUGGUCUGAGAGGAUGACCAGCCACACUGGAACUGAGACACGGUCCAGACUCCUACGGGAGGCAGCAGUGGGGAAUAUUGCACAAUGGGCGCAAGCCUGAUGCAGCCAUGCCGCGUGUAUGAAGAAGGCCUUCGGGUUGUAAAGUACUUUCAGCGGGGAGGAAGGCGAUGUGGUUAAUAACCGCGUCGAUUGACGUUACCCGCAGAAGAAGCACCGGCUAACUCCGUGCCAGCAGCCGCGGUAAUACGGAGGGUGCAAGCGUUAAUCGGAAUUACUGGGCGUAAAGCGCACGCAGGCGGUCUGUUAAGUCAGAUGUGAAAUCCCCGGGCUUAACCUGGGGAACUGCAUUUGAAACUGGCAGGCUUGAGUCUCGUAGAGGGGGGUAGAAUUCCAAGUGUAGCGGUGAAAUGCGUAGAGAUCUGGGAGGAAUACCGGUGGCGAAGGCGGCCCCCUGGACGAAGACUGACGCUCAGGUGCGAAAGCGUGGGGAGCAAACAGGAUUAGAUACCCCUGGUAGUCCACGCCGUAAACGAUGUCGACUUGGAGGUUGUUCCCUUGAGGAGUGGCUUCCGGAGCUAACGCGUUAAGUCGACCGCCUGGGGAGUACGGCCGCAAGGUUAAAACUCAAAUGAAUUGACGGGGGCCCGCACAAGCGGUGGAGCAUGUGGUUUAAUUCGAUGCAACGCGAAGAACCUUACCUACUCUUGACAUCCACGGAAUUUGGCAGAGAUGCCUUAGUGCCUUCGGGAACCGUGAGACAGGUGCUGCAUGGCUGUCGUCAGCUCGUGUUGUGAAAUGUUGGGUUAAGUCCCGCAACGAGCGCAACCCUUAUCCUUUGUUGCCAGCGAUUCGGUCGGGAACUCAAAGGAGACUGCCGGUGAUAAACCGGAGGAAGGUGGGGAUGACGUCAAGUCAUCAUGGCCCUUACGAGUAGGGCUACACACGUGCUACAAUGGCGCAUACAAAGAGAAGCGACCUCGCGAGAGCAAGCGGACCUCAUAAAGUGCGUCGUAGUCCGGAUCGGAGUCUGCAACUCGACUCCGUGAAGUCGGAAUCGCUAGUAAUCGUGGAUCAGAAUGCCACGGUGAAUACGUUCCCGGGCCUUGUACUCACCGC